Molecule: ribosomal RNA, 471 nt
Filed under: Triticum aestivum (bread wheat)
Lineage: Eukaryota; Viridiplantae; Streptophyta; Magnoliopsida; Poales; Poaceae
Description: partial small subunit ribosomal RNA
Source: RNAcentral
AUGUACGAGUACGACCCUGGAGGCAGCUCCUCGUCCCGGCCGCACGGCAAGGAGGAGCUGAAGCCGGAAGUGGUUCUCUACACGGCGUCCGCGUCCGCCGACCUCUACUCCUUGCGCGCCCUGCUGCGGGGUUACGGCCUGGCCAUGGACGAGCGCCAUGUGUCCAGGAGCAACAAAGCGCACCACGGCGAGCUCAAGUCGUUGCUUGCGGCUCGGGCCUGCGUCUUCUCCCUCCCGCAGCUCCUCGUGGGCGGCCCUAAAGAUGUUAGGCAGCUGCACCGGGCCGGCGGGCUGCGGCCUCUCCUCGACGGCGCCCCAAGGCCGUACGCCGCCUUCGUCUGCCAAGCCUGUAAGAGGGUCGGCUCCGAGCCCUGCCCAAAGUGCAGCGAGUCCCGCAACAAGAUGCUGGAUCACGGCGUUAUUGCCGACGAGCAGGACAAGGUUGUCCAUUUUUAUCCAACCCAAGGCUGA